GAUGAACGCUGGCGGCGUGCCUAAUACAUGCAAGUCGAGCGAACAGACGAGGAGCUUGCUCCUCUGACGUUAGCGGCGGACGGGUGAGUAACACGUGGAUAACCUACCUAUAAGACUGGGAUAACUUCGGGAAACCGGAGCUAAUACCGGAUAAUAUAUUGAACCGCAUGGUUCAAUAGUGAAAUACGGUUUUGCUGUCACUUAUAGAUGGAUCCGCGCCGCAUUAGCUAGUUGGUAAGGUAACGGCUUACCAAGGCAACGAUGCGUAGCCGACCUGAGAGGGUGAUCGGCCACACUGGAACGGAGACACGGUCCAGACUCCUACGGGAGGCAGCAGUAGGGAAUCUUCCGCAAUGGGCGAAAGCCUGACGGAGCAACGCCGCGUGAGUGAUGAAGGUCUUCGGAUCGUAAAACUCUGUUAUUAGGGAAGAACAAAUGUGUAAGUAACUAUGAACGUCUUGACGGUACCUAAUCAGAAAGCCACGGCUAACUACGUG
This 497-nucleotide ribosomal RNA is filed under the name uncultured bacterium. Its description in RNAcentral is "partial 16S ribosomal RNA". It matches the Rfam family "Bacterial small subunit ribosomal RNA", at positions 28 to 507 of the family's 1533-position model. The record is from RNAcentral.